This is an RNA transcript of Myotis myotis, 9938 nucleotides long. It is a transcript of the gene named family with sequence similarity 118 member A, with no coding region annotated. NCBI's taxonomy places the organism in Eukaryota, Metazoa, Chordata, Mammalia, Chiroptera, Vespertilionidae. The record is from RefSeq and is a predicted model, not a curated record. The transcript has 10 exons.
AGGGUGCUCACGGGAGACUGAGCUGAUGCAGGGGUCGGGCCUGUGCUCCUCGCGGCUUUCACGCGUGUAGAAUGUGACUAGCGUGGCCGGGGAGCAGAAUUGUCAAAUGCAAAGGGUUUGGUGGGAAGCAGGCGGUUCUCGGCUUGUUCUUUUAAAUGUCAUCUCUUUUCUCCUCCCACAGUCCUGUGAGGUGAAAGUAUUAUUCCUUUUGUGCAGGUGAAGGAAGCAGGGCCGAUGGUAGAGCGAGGGGUGUCGGGUCGUUGAACUUCCAAGGCUGGGCUCUUUCAGGGAGACCCCACUUCCUGCCCCCAGGAGCCUGAGGGUCUUGCCAGGAGCGAGCAGUCCCGAGGGCAGCCUUGCUCCCGCCCAGCCCCCCUGAGUUGUUCCCUGCUAGGGCCCGUGACAAACGCCAAGAGCAAACAAAACUGUCCGACUCCUCGAACUCUGACAUCUUCCCACCGGCUUCUCUCAGGUUUUGGAAAAUGAAUGGGUUAGGGCCUAACCAUUAGGCAGCAGGUGGAACUGCGGAUCACCCCCACUGCGGGCUUGUUACUUUAGGGUGCGUGUUCCCGAGCAGUGGUGGAAGGUUCGGUGGUAAAGGCAGAAGCUAGGGCCGUGGGUGAGGUGUUGGAGGCACCGUGGACCAGGGAAUGAGCGCCCAGCGCAGUGCAAGUGACAGAACAGGAGUGAGUGGCCCCUAGUUCCGGGGGGACCUUGACCCAGUCACUGCCUUGGAGCCUCAGUGUUCCUUCUGUAAAAGGCAUUUGGCAUCGCAUGGUCUCCAGGAUCCUCCAGCUCCAGGAGUCUGUCCCUUUAAGUUGAGUCGGAGGUUUGCUUUCUAGAAUCUAGAGCAUCGCUGGUUUCCCGUGGGACGGAUGAGUGCCGGCCUCUGAAUUGGUGUGUUUGACCAUUAUUGGCUUAUCGCUAGGAACACAUCUAUUUGAAUUAUGCAACGUGUCGGCGCUGAUGGACAAACUGUAAAGCAGUUAAUGAUUUAUCGGUUGGCAGGGUUCCCAGUAAAAUGCCAAGUGUAUUUGUGUGCCAGUCUGAGCCGCGCCGACAUCAGGAGAAAACGUGCAGACUGUUUCCGCGGCGGUUGGCCUCCGAGAGGGUUGAGUGGCGCGGCCAGGAUUCACAGAUGGAUUCACUGGAAAAGACAACACACAGAAGUGAACAAAAGUCCAGCAGAAAGUUUUUAAAAAGCCUCGUCCAGAAACAGCCGCAGGAGCUGCUGCUGGUGAUCGGCACGGGCGUGAGCGCGGCCGCGGCCCCCGGCAUCCCCGCGCUCUGCUCCUGGCGGAGCUGCCUGGAGGCCGUCAUCGAGACCGCGGAGCAGCUGGACGUGCUGCACCCCGGGGACGCGGCCCAGUUCCGCAGGAAGGUGACGAAGGACCGGGACCUGCUGGUCGUUGCCCACGAUCUGAUCCGGAAGAUGUCACCGCGGACGGGCGACACCAAGCCCAACUUCUUCCAGGACUGCCUGAUGGAGAUCUUCGACAACCUGGAGCAGCACCUCCAGCACCCACAGGUGCUGCAGUCCAUCCUCAGCCUGAUGGACCGGGGCACCAUGGUGCUGACCACCAACUACGACAACCUGCUGGAGAUCUUCGGGCAGCAGCAGAACAGGCCCAUGGAGUCCCUGGACCUGAAGGACAAGACCAAGGUCCUCCAGUGGGCACGAGGGCACAUCAAGUACGGAGUGCUCCACAUCCACGGCCUCUACACGGACCCCUGUGGGAUGGUCCUGGACCCCUCGGGAUACAAGGACGUCACGCAAGACCCGGAAGUGAUGGAGGUGUUCCAGAGCCUGUACCGCACCAGGUCCUUCCUGUUCGUGGGCUGCGGGGAGACCCUGCGCGACCAGAUCUUCCAGGCGCUCUUCCUGUACUCGGUGCCCAACAAGGUGGACCUGGAGCACUACAUGGUGGUGCUCAAGGAGAGCGAGGACCACUUCUUCAAGCACCAGGCCGACAUGCUGCUGCACGGCAUCAAGGUCGUGUCCUACGGGGCCUGCUUCGACCACUUCCCGGGGUACGUGCAGGACCUGGCCACGCAGAUCUGCCGGCAGCGGAGCCCAGAUGCCGACAGAGUGGACAGCACCACGCUGGGGAGUGGGUGCCAGGACUGCGCCAAGAGGAAGCUGGAGGAGAACGGAAUUGAAGCUUCUAAGCAGCUCCGGCCCUCAGAUGAUGCUGGCGCAUCUUGAAAUCUUUAAAACCGACAAACCUGCAACUUGAAAACCAGCCUUCUGUGACCACAGUGCCGUAGCGGACGAUGAGGAAUGUUCGAGGACUCGCACGGACCUCUCACUUCUAACCGUCAUGUACCCCCCGAGAGCCCUGUGGGGUGUGGCCGUGGAGUAGGGGGGACAGUCCCACUGUGUGUCUAACUGCUCGGGGUGAAGUGCACACCUCAGGUAUCCUCCGUGAGGACUGGCGGACAACUACCUCAGGGCCCGACGGUGGGAAGGGAGGGGCCUGGUGCUCCAGGCUCCCCGACACGCCCGUGGUCAGGUGGGCUUCCUAAUAAAGGGGACAGUGGAGACUACAAGCAACAGUAGUUGCCAAAGAGAAAAGAAACUAGACUCUUAAAUUUUAUAAUUUUUAUGCGGAAACAUGUUACCAUAGAAAAAACUCUUAAGAAGCUGGUUUCAGGAACGCGAGGAUGCUGCCUGAGGACCUGCCGCCUGAGUCCAAGUUAUGAGAACGGGCAGCCCAGGAAGAGGAAGGGGCCACAGCUCUGAUGGCACUGAAGGGACAUGACAGUGUUAAACUGAUGUCUUUCAAGGCAGGAAAGUCGGAGAUUGAGGUGCUAUUGCCGGCACUGAAACAAGGAACACAGGGAGACUGAGUGGUCUCUGUUCUCCAGUUCACAGAGGAGCAGGGAGCAAGGCUGUGACUGCACGUCUGGCACAGUGCAUCCUGUUUAUAUGCGACGUGAGUGUAGUUUGAAAGUGAGUCCGCUACUUCAGGAGCUACUCCUUGGUGGCACCUGGGCCCACGCAGUCUCCACUAGACCAGUAGCACCUCCGAAUGUUCCAUUCCGUCCUGAGAUGGAAGUAAAGUCCUGCUGACUGUCUUUCCCACCUGGAACAAUGCACUGAAAUGGCAAAGUCAGUUGUUACUUGGAAAGUCUGUUCAUUUCCUUCUGAACAGAAAUUACAUUUAGAAAAUGCAGAUUGCGUUGAAGUGGACAUAAUUCAGUUUCACCUUAAAAUUUUUGUUUAUAAAACUGUAAUUUGGAAACAUUUGAAAUUAGAGUAUUUUUAUUGAUAUUUUCAUACAUCAGUUCCUCUGAAAUAAUUUCUCAAAACCCAGGUUAACACCCUAUAACUAGGAUAUUCAGAAACCAAGACUAUCCUUUAAACGUUCCUUAAAUGGACAAGGCAAGACCAGAGUGAAGAGGAUGUAGAAUUCAAAAUUUUUCUGGCUGGGCUUCAAAAUGGAACUUGAAACUAUGGUAACAAAAUUGUACCUUUUUUUUUUUUUUUUUUUUUAAAUCGUUCAAAGCUAACUCUUCCAGGAAACUUUCCCUACGGGAGCGGGGCCUAAACACUCCUAACGGAAGUGAGCAGCAGCUUCUUUGCUGGUAACGGUUCAGCUUUCUCAGACGGCACACAGGCUUGCUGCCUCCAGAAGUUGGUGACUCAACAGUUUGAACGCUAGAGUGAGAACUGAACAGUGAUGACCUGACCACAGCUAACUCAUCCGCUCUGAGAGCCGGCAGCUGCGCCGGGGCACUCGGACCCUAGCGGGACUCUCGCUGUCUCCUGCUGCCUUCUUCGCCUUCAGUGUCUGGAUACUGAGAAAGAUCUAAAGUCAGAACUCGGCUGAACAUGUAGUCAUCGUGCUGAAAUGAAGAGCAGACAGCUAAGUUAGUCCUUCCACGAAGGAAAAGGUGCUAUUAAGCCUAAAACAAGAGCCAGUAGUGAAUUUGGACUUGCAUUUGAAAGGAAACAUAUGGUAUGGCCACCUCAGAAGGUAUCAAUGGCAUUGCAUCAGCUUUAUUAGCUCAUUUCUGUAUUACCUGGACAGGGUAUCAGGAUGUGCCACGCCAAAAUAUGGCUCUGGCAUGUGGACUGUUGGAGCUACUGAGAUGCAGGGAAAGCUCUAACACUGGCCACAAGUCCUGCUUUUCUAAAUUCACACCUUCCCUACUCUAACGACUGCUGUCAACGAAAGGCACCUAUGUGAUCUGCAGAGCAAACGUGGCUUGGCCACCAUGCUUUCCUGGUCGCCUUCCACCUCUGCUCCCCCUCCCCCUGCUCCUUUCCUCACUUCGGCCUGAGACUGGAGAGGAGCCCACGUUCUAGCCACCCCUUUGGGUUACUCGGCCAUGAUGCUCCCGCUUGCUUGUCUGUCUUGCCAGUCUGAUUGACAGGCCCAGCCAGAGCCGCUAAGGUGGGCAGACUGUUUCGAUUGUUUUCCUCCCUUACCCCGUGUGAGAAUUUUCACUUCUCUACUGCAGCACAUCUCCAGUGGGCCCCCAACAAUUUGUAGGCACAGGAAGCGAAAUUUUUAUCUUAGCAUCUCAUUGUCCAAAAAUGGAACGAUCAGAAAUCCUCCAUUACCUCGAGUAUUUUGAAUAGCUUAAGAAAGAUUUGUUCACUUCUAAAAGUUACUAUACAACUUGGAACUUUCAGUCAAUUUCUUUGCUUUUCCCUCUGGUAUUUUUGGAAGAUAAAUGGUUCCUUAUUAGUUCUACCACAAUACAUUUGCUUUUGCCUAAAACAUUCAAACAUUACAGAAAUAGGAAUACAGUAUUACAGCUUACUUUGUGUAAAUAUGCUGUUAUUUUAUAAAGAAAAUUCUGUAAUUUUCAAUUUGUCUUUUCAGAUCUUAAAUCUUUGUACUGUCACAGAAAAAUACCUGAAUAGUUACUUUUAAUCUUAUUUAAUUAAAAAAUAAUGUAAGCCUGUAGUUAUCACUGCAGAAACCCAGCAGUAUCUCCAGUCUCCAGGAGGAAAGGACGGGAAGGGUGCUCAUCUUUACCUCUGGGUAGAUGCCGAUCAGGGCGUCAGCCUUGGCAUAGAACUCCUCCUUGAGGGAGAUGAUUAUCAUCUGAAACUGUUCUUGAGUCUGCUCUUUGAUGUAACUUGCUACCUGGUAGGAAGGAAAAAGCACACAUUUCACCAGCAAGGAAGGCCUCGUUUCUGGGCCCGGGGCCAGUGAUCCUGCAGGUCUGUUUGCCCGUUUAGGUGACAGGAACUUACUUGCCUCCCUGGUAAUUUGGUAAACCCACUCCAACCACAGAAAUAGCUCAGAGUCUAAAAUAAGAGGUUAGGAAAGAUAUCUCUAAAUCUAUGAUCUAAAACUUUAAGAAUAUUUUUAAGGAUAAAACUCUGCCUUAUCUACAAUAUGGUAUAAAGCAAGCCUUUAUUAACAGUAUAAGAACUACCACUCAGAUAGUUUAUGAGGGUGAAGAAGGACUGGUAUUUUAACUUCCAACUUCCUAUUUUGCCAACUCAAAGCCUGAAAGAGGGAUCCAUGGCAAUGACGUAUUCAUGACUCAGUCAUGUGGGGAGAGGUGGUUUCUUCCGGAAGGUCAGUUCCCAGGACCGAGCAGAACAGGAUAGUCUGCACAGAAAUGGGUCUUAGUGAGCACCUGCUCAGAGCCUGGAGGGUGGUGACCUAGGACCCAAGCCACAGCUCACUGAGACGCUUCCAGCUCCCGCUCUCCCUGCCUAGGGGGGGCUUCUCCGUGUGCCCUGGUCCUGGCUGCACCCGAGAUGCUAAGGACGAUACUAAGGACGCAGCACCGGAGGCAGGAAUGGCGAGCUUCAGGGAGGAGUGAGUCAUUAGGGAGCUGAACCCUGAGGAGGGAAACUGCUUUUGACUCAGAGAAGGAACUCCAACUUGAGGGGCACAGUAGUCAUCCGAUGCAGGACUGAGUCCCAGGAUACUGACUGGAUAGAAGAGGAGGGAGGAUGCAAAGACGCAGGGCGUGCGUUUUGCCUGCAAAGUUGCCUGGGUAAGGGUUGGGCAACCUGAUCACAAGCAGCGGUGGAGCUGCUGCUUAGCUGUUCAUACUACAAAACUGCCCCGAGUGCGCAGUGGGGUGCCAGGAGCGCACACCCCUAAGGGAAACUGGGAGCAAAGAGGCUUUUAAUACACAGGGUAGGUGAUGACAGGUCUUAUGUUAGACCUAGUACCUGGGGAUACCAUGAGUACGUCUGAAUUUUGCAAGAAGAUACGGACAUCCUAAAUGCCACUGAGAAGAUGCAGCCUACCAAAAUAAGAUGUCCCCUCACCCCCUGUAACAGAAGAGGGGAUACAAAGUGCCCAAAUGCCUUAAAGGGGCGAUUUCUCCCAAAUGAGUCAGGCCUGGACUCCAGGUAGCUGAUGCGGACUGGUUGGCAUUCGAGGUGUUCUGUGUUCCUAGCAUUCUCUCCGACAGUCUGGCAGGGCACAGCAUGUGGCUCUUGCCUGUCUGCCACAAGGUCCAGGGACCAGUGUAUGGGUCUGAAGUUGUGCUGUUCUAUGUCCACUGUGACAUGUCCAGAGAGCAGGCUCCCAGAGAGGUGGGUUAGACGAGUGCCCCUUGGGAAUGCUGAGAGGCAGCCUUCAUGCCACUCGAAGGUGCCUCAGACUGUAGCUCCUGGAAGCCCUAACUCCCAAGCCUUCCAGACUUGGAAGAGAAGUCGGGGAGGUCAGCUUCAGAGACUCAGAACCUGAGUGGCACCCCAAGAUCAGAUGCAUCUCUCAAAGGGGGACUCUCUAACCAAGCUCACAGGACUAAGGUGUAAACCAAUUUACAAAUGAAUAAUGAGAAACACAUCGGUCGGCAGGACCAGGGCAGCCUCCUGGUCCAUCAGCAGCUGUAAAUGCAAAGCCCAGCCGCUUCUGGAGGAAGGACGCGCCUGGAAGGAGAAGCAGGAGUCUCGUCAUCUAUCAGAAGUGGGUUUUCUCUGCAGGAAGGAGUCUGCGGGCCAGAGGGACCCCUCCCCUGGGGAGUGAUGGGUCCUGCCAGUAUUUGCCUCUGUCCUGCGUCCAUGCGUCCAUGGUUGAACCACUCUCAUGUCAAGAAGUGCGGCCUGAGAGCCCCCCAGGUGGCUGUGUCCGCACUGAUCCUCAAGGCUGGCCUCAGACCGGACUCUCAAGAGCUAGCUGUUUCCUUAGCUCCCUCGUCGUCUUAAAUGCUGAAAACACGGUCCUGCACAGGCGCAGCCGCUGGAUAAACGUUCAUAAAUAUAAGGGGGGACAGUUUUGAACUUCAAUUCUGAAAUUUUAGUUAGAGAUGUUAGUUUUGGACUUUAUUAAACUGAUUUGGUCCUGUUUGCCCCGGGACCUAUUAGUGACUCUAAGGUCCCAACCUCUAGGUCAGGAGAGGCCUGCACUGCAAUCUUCCCCCAACUCCAUGCAGAUUCCCCAACUGUGAGGCUCCCCUACAUCUUGAACGGAACUUCCCUGAACCAUGUUGCUUGUAGAUACUGAAUUUAAAUUUGAUUUUUAACCAACAGUUAUCAAACAAUUUUUGCUCAGGGUACACUGAAUUCCAGGUGUCCUGUUGGAAAUUAAGUGCAGAAAGAAACUUACUUUGCCGAUGUUUGUAUUGUCCAGGGCUGCAUCCACUUCAUCCAGAACAAAGAAUGGAGCAGGCCGGAAACUGGAAGAAAUGAGAGGUUACCGCUUCCCAUUUGUUUUACAAAGACUCAGAGGAGAGGAUUAACCAGAUGCAGAUACAUCCUCUUGGAUGCUGGUGUCUAGGUCACCAAUGAGCUGAACAUGGCUAAAUCCAAUGAUCAAUUCUCAGUCUGUGUUCCAAGGGUCCUUUGUAGGUAGUACCUGGGGUGGUGCUCCCGCCUGUUCCUCUGAUGUCAAGGGUGACAGGGUCUCUCCCUCCCCCCUCCCCCUUUACUCACUGCUCCCUCCCAGUCUGGCCUGCGAACUCCUAGUCUCUCUAUUGAACACUGCUGGUGCCGGUGCCCAGGGGGCUCAAUGCUCAGAGUGCUCCUCUAUCUAAUUAGCUCCCUGGGUGGUUUCACCUGAUCCCAAGGUUGUAAGUGACUCCACGUGUGGAUGGCUUCCACACUUCUGAGAGUUCUAAUCUCCUGAACCAGUGGUUCUCAACCUUGGCUGCACAUUAGAGUCACCUGGGAAUCUUUUUAAAAUCCUGAUUUCUGGGCCUCAUCCUCCAGAAAUUCUGUGUCUUUGUUAUGGGGUGAGGCCACAACAUUAGUAACAAAGAAACAAUUUCCGGAGGACGAGGCCCAGAAAUCAGGAUUUUAAAAAGAUUCCCAGGUGACUCUAAUGUGCAGCCAAGGCUGAGAACCACGAACUCUCACUGCACACAUUUAACAGCUUCCUCAGCGAUUCCACACGGGUGUCUGAUAAACAGCUCAAACUCAUCCAAAAUCAAACGCCUCACCUGCCUGUCCAAACCGAAUCCCUUCCGUGGUGUCCCUGUCCUCAGUUAAUGGCAGCUGUUUCACUCCAGCUGAUUAGGCCAGAACCCUUGGAGCCAUCCUGACUCCUCCAUGCCCCAUGCUUGUCUCUGAUGACCCUUCUGCUCUCACCCUGGUCCAACACUAGUUCCCUAAAGGUUAGGGACUUAACCCAUGCCUGACACUGCUGCACAGUCUCUUCUCCACCGAGGCCAGGCUCACUCUGGCCGUACAGGGCCUUUGCACUUGCUGAUCGUUAUGUCUACAUUCUUGCUCCCCUAAUUCCUUUGUAUCUUUGCGCAAUUGUUACCUUCUCAAAGAGGCCUUCCCGGAUGACUCUCUUUAAUAUUGCAAACCCUUCCCUACUACUAUCUCCAUUCCUUGCUUUAAUUUUUCUCCCUAUAGCAUUUGCUAUUUGUCAUAGUCUCACAUUAGAGAAUUCAUUUGUUAAUACACCUUAUUUAUCAACUGUCUUCCCGCCUAGAAUGAAGUUAUCUUUGAGAUGGAUUUUGCUUUGUUCUCUGCUCUCUCUCCAAUGCCUAACCACCACCUGGCACAGUAAAUAUAUGCUUAUCUGUUGAAUAAGUGGGGGUGGUGGGGGUGAUAUCUAGAAAUCAUCUUAUUCUGGCAAGAUUUACUCAACACAAGCUCCCAGUUAGACCCUGAUCGGCUUUCCCUAAGCCCCCUGCACUAAUGGCAUUUCUUUCCUGUAAUGGCCUAUUCCUCUUCCUUCUUGAGAUCAAUAAAAACCAGCUGCAGAACUUCCAUGCUAUUCUUCUUGACAUGAGAUAGAGGCAGCAUCGUCUCCUGAGAUCUUCGCCUAGUGCUCUGGAUGCUGAAAGUUAAUUGCCUUCAUGUUGGCUAACUUUUCCUUUAUUGAUUUUAUGAACAAUGCCACCAUCAGUGGAAAUGAGAGGUGAAACAUUUUUUUCAGAAGAAACACUUUGCUUAACAUUCUUUACUAAACAGAUCUCCAAAUGUGGACCAGGAAAAUAAUAUACAAGUUGUGUGCUUUUGUUUGAUUGGGGUUUGUUAUUGUUUCUUUUAAUUCUGAUGUCACAUCUGGCUAUUCCAAAUAUUUAUUUUUCUUCCUCCUUUCUAUAAAUCUAAAAUAUCAGUAGCUACUGAUAAUAGAAAUUUAAUAAAAAUCUGUUAAAGACUGAAUUUUCUCUUAGAUUAUCUGUCUAAAUUGUUAUAGACGUAAAAUAUCACCUGAAUUGUCUGGCUGGAGAAAACAGUUUUGUAUUCACAUACUGCUAAACACAACUAAAGACAAGCAAUUAACAGGAUUCUGUAGGACAAGCAUGUCAAACUCAAAGGCUAACAUGAGCCAAAGAAACGAGGCCUGCGGCGCGACAUGCCUGCUGUAGGAGGUCCAUUUGGUUUCUGUGCUGAUACAAAAGCCCCACAGCUCACGGUGACCUCACCUGUGCACAGCGAACAGGAGCGCCAGAGCUGCCACACAUUUUUCUCCCCCUGACAAGUUGUCCAUCGGCAUGAACCGUUUGCCGGGGGCCACACAGUUAUAGCCGAUUCCCUCCAAGUAAGGCUCUUC